UACAGAGCCUCUCCACGUCUAAUGGAUCUGUUAAAGACAUUGGAUGGUCAGUGUGGAGGGACUAUGUUUUUAAUGGUGUCAGGGAGCAGGCACACAGUCGACUGCAGAAUUGGUUGAAAUUCACCUGCAGUGCAACAGCGUUGACCCUGAAGGCCAGACUAAUUCACCUCACCACUAUUCACUGCUGUCCUUCCGAUUUUGCUUCUCUAUCUCCUGUUGUAUCAAUUUCUCUUAGUCCAGGUUUUUCUGUCACUGUUGAACAGGUCAUCGCAUCAAAGGUUAAGUAAACUGAUUCAUGUGCAUCCGUCUCUCAUAUGCCCUGAUGUGACUACCCAUUUGCUGAGGAGUGUGAUGCACCAAUGUUGCCUUUCCCACACUUGUAAAUAACUUUUGAAGCAUCAGUUCAUUUGAUUGCCAUUUAAUUAUCACCAGUUGUUUUAAGAAAGGAUGCACAAUAUAUUUUGGUACCAUAUCGAUUAUCGGGU
Cyprinus carpio carpio is the source of this 485-nucleotide long non-coding RNA. The record is from Ensembl. NCBI's taxonomy places the organism in Eukaryota, Metazoa, Chordata, Actinopteri, Cypriniformes, Cyprinidae.